This 253-nucleotide ribosomal RNA is filed under the name uncultured bacterium. RNAcentral describes it as "partial 16S ribosomal RNA". It matches the Rfam family "Bacterial small subunit ribosomal RNA", at positions 524 to 776 of the family's 1533-position model. The record is from RNAcentral.
UACGUAGGGUGCGAGCGUUGUCCGGAAUUAUUGGGCGUAAAGGGCGCGUAGGCGGCUUGGCAAGUGGAAGGUGAAAUCCCUCGGCUUAACCGAGGAACUGCCUUCCAGACUGCUUUGCUUGAGGCCGGGAGAGGCGAGUGGAAUUCCCAGUGUAGCGGCGAAAUGCGUAGAUAUUGGGAGGAACACCAGUGGCGAAGGCGGCUCGCUGGACCGGUUCUGACGCUGAGGCGCGAAAGCUAGGGGAGCAAAUGGG